CCUACGGGAGGCAGCAGUGAGGAAUAUUGGUCAAUGGGCGCAAGCCUGAACCAGCCAUGCCGCGUGCAGGAUGAAGCAUCUAUGGUGUGUAAACUGCUUUUGUACGGGAAGAAACCCUGCCACGUGUGGCAGAUUGACGGUACCGUAAGAAUAAGGAUCGGCUAACUCCGUGCCAGCAGCCGCGGUAAUACGGAGGAUCCAAGCGUUAUCCGGAAUCAUUGGGUUUAAAGGGUCCGUAGGCGGUUUUAUAAGUCAGUGGUGAAAUCCGGCAGCUCAACUGUCGAACUGCCAUUGAUACUGUAGGACUUGAAUUAUUGUGAAGUAACUAGAAUAUGUAGUGUAGCGGUGAAAUGCUUAGAUAUUACAUGGAAUACCCAUUGCGAAGGCAGGUUACUAACAAUAUAUUGACGCUGAUGGACGAAAGCGUGGGGAGCGAACAGGAUUAGAUACCCUGGUAGUCCACGCCGUAAACGAUGGAUACUAGCUGUUUGGUUGUAAGACUGAGUGGCUAAGCGAAAGUGAUAAGUAUCCCACCUGGGGAGUACGGGCGCAGCCCUGAAACUCAAAGGAAUUGACGG
RNAcentral lists this ribosomal RNA (578 nucleotides) under uncultured bacterium. Its description in RNAcentral is "bacterial SSU rRNA". It matches the Rfam family "Bacterial small subunit ribosomal RNA", at positions 338 to 916 of the family's 1533-position model. The record is from RNAcentral.